UCAAAUGAUUAACGGUAUUGACAACAGCAUUGAUAAUAUAAUCUUUCAAAGUGUUCUUCACUCUGCAGGUAAAGGUAGAUAUUACUAAUUACCAAUCAGUAGUAUUAAUCUAUGGAUAAAUUCUGUAUUACAUUCUCUUCUGAUCUUCUUGUGUGUACGAAACCUCGAAGUACGUUGCCGCAGAGUAUAGCUGUGUACCUAGAUUUCUCAAAUCCUGGAAGAACAACAACGAUUACCACAGCAUCAAACUACAUUGGAAUCAAAGAUUGAGAAAAAUAGAUGAAUUGCCUUGAUACUGUUCUGCAGAUGGGUAUUAUGUUGGGUGGUGUUUUGGUCAAAGUUUGUAGAAGAAGCUGCGGAAGAUGAAUACAUGGUCUGGUAAGUCUUGAUUCCCCCCUUCCUUUUCCUGCAAAAUCAUACAUAUAUUUAUUUUGUAUAUGAUCAGGGUCAAACAUGUUUGAUGCUUGCACGUUCCUUAUGAAUAACCCAAAUGCAUGCACGAUGAUUAUAUUAAGGGUUUGGUGUUUAGUAUUAACAAAUCAAUUGGCAUUUGGUUGAUUUAGUUUUUUUCCCAAAUGAUAAGAAAUUAAGAAUGUUUUAAAUGUUUAGAAUUAAAUAAACAUUGACUCUCUUUAUAUAUUCAAUCUUAUCUUUCGAGAUUGAAAAAAGCAUAGAACAUGGAGAUUAUGGUUAAUUUUAAUUAUCUUAUUUAUAGGGUUGGGUUCUGCUGGGCCUGGGAUAUCAGAAAAUUCAUCUUUAUCGUUUUUUUAAACCUCAGAUUUGAGACUCUAAUUUAUUUUAAUAUUAAUUUCAACACACCAUUGAUAAUUUGAUAUUAGAAUGAUAGAAUAUUAGUUAGAAUCUAGUUCUUUAUUUUUAAUAUCUUAUAAUAAUUAUUUUUAGGUCAUUUAUUUAAAAUAAAAUUAAUAUCUCAUAAGAUAUCUCAUUUUAAAAUCCCAAACUUUAUGGUUUGUGGUAUGUGUAAAGUUUGAUUGAUGCUCUUUAAGUUCCAAAGUUGCAACCAUACAUUUGCAAUUUGCUUAAUACAUUAUUGUUGCCAAUGAGAGUUCUAGAAGACCCAUGUUUCUUUGGAUGAAUGCAAGUUCAUAUUUUGAAGACUGUGCAGACAAUAAACUUACAAGUUCAGUUCAGGUUUUGGGUGAGAUUCGGAUCGCUUGAUGAAGCCCUAAAUCGAAUCGAAUUUCCAAAGAAGAUUAAGAAGAGGUAUUACAAUGAACAUAGAUUGAAACAGACAGAAGAAAAUACGAAUUGUAUUUGUAUAAACAAAAAAUCUAACUAAUAUUUCCUUUUCCUUAUCUUGAAGCUAGAAGAACGAAUGACAUCGUCAUCUGUUUUCAACUUUGAUUCUAGGGAGAAGAGCGAUUCUGGUUUGGUGAAGUAGGUGAAGAGAAGGUAGAUACCAUCAAGGUAUGUGUUACUCUCUCCAGCUUUGUUCUUUUUCUUUAUACUAUAAGCAAGUGGAAUCACUCCUCUGUUGAAAACCUCCACAUACAUCCCUCCACCGGCAACAAGUAACUGCAGAAUCAUCAAUCACCACCAUCCAAGAUAACGUAAUCAAUUUCAUCAUCUAUUCAGAGUUGUAAUUUUAGGUUUAGGUUUAGGUUUAGAUUUACCUCCUCGUAUCUUUCCGUCAGCCCUAACCGUUCUUCCUCUGACAUGUCGGGUCUCAGCACCACCAUUGUCUCGUACUGUCUUAAUCCGGGAGGACAUUGAGGUUCAUCCUUCUCCUCCACCGUUGCCACAGCUGAAGCCGCAGAAGGUCCAUCAUCCCCGUUUCUCCCUUCCUCGAAAAACGAUCCGGAGAAAUCCAUGGUUAGGGCACGUGCACGCGUGUGUCUUGCGAGGCAGAGACCACUGGCACUGACGAUCUGAAGAGGAAUCGGGAAUGACGGGAAGGAUCUACGGUGGUUAGAAGUGGUGGAGGAGAGUGAUGUGACGGUGGGGAUGAGAAAAGACGCCAUUUUCGUUUUCGAAUCUCAACGGAAAGAAGAUUUAGUUCAGAUAAGAGAUGCCUGAAGGCUGAAGCGGAAUAGAGAUAAGAAGAGGAGAAGAGAAUGCGGUAUGCUAUUCUCAAGGAAUAUUUUAAUUAAAAUAUUUAAAAUGUAAGAUAAGCUAGAAACUGGAAAGCAGCGGUGAUGAGAAGUGAAAGAUAAAGAGAGGUGCGUGGCAUCCUACCACCAUCUUUUCUGAUCGUCAUCGCAGCAUAGACCGGAAUGCAGUUGACGACGACGAAUCCACACAGCAGAAGCUGGAUCCCAAAUUCUCCGACAGACCCAUUCCUCACACUUCCGACGCCUCCGACCACCAAACCCACCAGACUCAUCCACGCGAAAACUCCAAUCGACACCAUGAACGGUGAAGCCACACCAAAAUCAAACACCUGUUUCUCGUACCGUCGAGUUUCAUCCUCGUCCAUCACCUUGCUGGUCACGUUGAACCCAUCACCGGUAGAUAACCCAAACUGGUUCAGCGAGAAUUCCACUAUUCCUGCAGGGUAGCACGUAACACCACGUACAAGCCACAUCCUCUGGUUGUUCCACCACUUCCGGUACGUUCCUCCUCCCAGUCUGACAAAAUCGAUGGCGUCUUGACCGUACGAUGCCAAGAAGAGGUACACGUAGAGCAAGCUCCAUGGAUCUCGCAGCAGGUUUGGAAAAAGAGGAUGGUUAUGAUGAAGUAGAGCUAUCUGCGGCAGAAUGCCGUAAGUGAUGAGAGGGAUAGACCAACUGCUCCAGAAGGAGUUGUGUGAGUAACACAUUCCGAGAAGCAAUGAACCGUAUUUCACACCGUAGGUUACCGGACAGUGCUCCGAGAAGACUAUUUCCAGAAGGCCGAUGAUCCAUCUCUUGGUCUGGCUGAGUGCAUCAUGUAGUGUUAUCGGAACUUCUCCCAAGAAAGCUGGUCUUUCUGGGUCGCAGAAGAUCGACUCCCAUCCCUCACACUGCAAUUGAUAUCCUGUGUAGAAAUCCUCCACCAACGAUCCGUACCGGAAUCCGACGGUGGAGCCCCACUUGGUACCAACCUCGUAGCUUGCUCCGGCUACUUGAUGAACCCUACCCAACACCUGAUCGGAGAACAGAGAAGAAGAAGAAGAAGAAACCACAGUCUGCUUCUGGUCGGGUGAGGAAUGGAGCGCGCGACGAUUGAAGAAAGUAUUGCUGCCGACGUACAUCGGACCUGUGAUUCCAUUCAUACCCAACGGAUUGAUCAGAUACUGUCGUUUGUACUCACUUCCGUAUAUAUCGCCAUCGUUGAUCCCACUGAAUCUCUGAGGGAACUGGACGAAGGCUAGAGUUCUGGAGAUUGAAUCGUCGAGGAGGAAACACAUGGCCUGGUGAGGUGUUGUUGGAUCAUUGGACUUCAUAUCGCAGUCAAGAUUCAGUAUGAACGGCGCAUUCGUUAUCUCACCGGAGACUCGGAGCAGAGUGUUCAGAGAACCUCCCUUGAAAUGAUGAGAAUAAGCUCCGGUCUUCUCCCUUGCGACGUAUAUGAGGUUCGGUAAUGGAUGGUUGGUAAUAUCCAUGUCUUUACUGCUUUCAACCAAAAUCUGAACAAUGGUUGGAUGUUCUUUACUUGUGAAUCCCGGAACCCAUUUCUCAAGACCACCGGAACGUUCUCCCACCGGGAUCCCAUUCUUCAUCGCCUGUUCAAUUUUCUCUCUCAUCUUCCCGUACAUUUUCUGAACACAGCCAAUCAAACACCAACAUGCCUUAGCUGUAGCUUCUAGUAUAUACAUAAGUAAUAUAACCAUAACUCACCUUGAUGUUGUUUUCUUCGUGACUGUUGCCGGCGCUGUUUGAAUCGAAGUAAACCUCCGGGCAUCUCGUCAUGAUUCCGUUCAUCUUACAAAACGGCACCCAAUGCUUUGCGAACAACGAAGCCUCCAUGAAGGCGAACAGUGUGAGAUCCGAUCCACCGUCGUCCGAUAAGUAUACCGAGAGUUUCUCCACCGGAUAAUCAUACGCCAUCACCGACAGAGCGGUGUUCACAACACCCAUCGGUGGCUCUUUAUACGGAUCCGCCGUGCAUAUGAACACGUCCAGACCCGGUAGAUCCUUCAAUAACAGAUUUACGAAUCAAUAACAAAUGAAAUCCUCAUUAAACAGAUAUGCAUCGGAAGAUGGCGACGGACAGACCUUGUUCGACAGGCGUUCUGGGUGAGGGUGGCGCCGUAUAGGACGCCAGCGAAAGGCUUGAGUGACCAGCCACAUGAAAGCGAGAACCACAUCGGAGAAGAAGAGGAAGAGAGUCAGACAGAAGGAGACGACGGUAAUGGAAGAAUGCAGCUGAAGAUAACGAUGGUAGAAGAUUGCAAGGAUCGCAAAUGAGUAUAAACCUGCAUGUAUUCGGUUGAUCGGAAUUAAAGGAUCUAUCUGUGAGGUAUGGAGUGGCUGCGGUGUUUCGAGCAGUUUUCCGCACUCACCGCCGGCGUCUUUCAUCGGGUUAAUUGGGGGAAUAAAAAAAACAAAUCUUUCUGACAGAGACCGAAUUACGUAUUUAUCAUUGGUCUGUUUAAUAGAUUAUCAAUUUAUCAUCCAAUGGUUUAGAUUGCAGGAUUGCAAACAACGACAAAGAUGCGGUGGAGAUUCCGAUCGAAAAGUGAAAUUACAAAUACAGCCCUGUUGGGAUAUUCUAUUUUCAUACUAAAAC
This 4671-nucleotide long non-coding RNA is filed under the name Zostera marina. Its description in RNAcentral is "long non-coding RNA (ZMAR_LNC002900)". Lineage: Eukaryota; Viridiplantae; Streptophyta; Magnoliopsida; Alismatales; Zosteraceae. The record is from RNAcentral.